This 582-nucleotide unclassified non-coding RNA is filed under the name Philodendron schottii subsp. talamancae. RNAcentral describes it as "partial external transcribed spacer". The record is from RNAcentral. Lineage: Eukaryota; Viridiplantae; Streptophyta; Magnoliopsida; Alismatales; Araceae.
ACGUGAGUGUUGAGAUAACCCAGUGCACUGGCGGGCCCCCUGCUUAAGUGCGGCCGACCGCGAGUGCGAUGGGAUAUGCUUCGUUCGUGAAAUCCCAAAAUCAUCGGGGCUCCGCACGAUGCGGAGGGCAUAUUCGGUGGGUUGUAUCGCAUAGUCGGCACGCGGCAACSUGGUGACCCUACGUUAGUAACGUCAUGUCCUCCUCCUCUCUCUCGCCCGCUCCCCUCGGACGGGCGGGGAGCGAGAAGCGGCCUCUUACGACGUCCCGUGCRUCCUCGGCGGCGCUUGCAGUCGCACGUGUGCGCACGUGCUUGCCUGCUUCGUCCGUCCGUCUGGACCUCGGGACGGUCGAGUGCUUACGGAUGCGGUGAAUUGGAUGGGAGUCGGGUGGGCGCACGCUGUUGCCGACCCGACGAAUGGSAGGUGUUUGCGCACGCCGCGAGCGGGCAAACGGAACGGAACGGAACGGAAUGAACGACCGCCGGCGGGCGGGCGGGCGUGCGUCGUCGUCGCCGAUGGGCUGGCUGCGCCGUCCGUCCUGUCCGCGGGCGUCGUCUCGAAGGAUUCGCUACCUGGUUGAUC